This 368-nucleotide ribosomal RNA is filed under the name uncultured organism. Its description in RNAcentral is "bacterial SSU rRNA". It matches the Rfam family "Bacterial small subunit ribosomal RNA", at positions 526 to 896 of the family's 1533-position model. The record is from RNAcentral.
CGGAGGGUGCAAGCGUUAUCCGGAUUCACUGGGUUUAAAGGGUGCGUAGGCGGGCAGGUAAGUCAGUGGUGAAAUCCUUGAGCUUAACUCGAGAACUGCCAUUGAUACUAUCUGUCUUGAAUAUUGUGGAGGUAAGCGGAAUAUGUCAUGUAGCGGUGAAAUGCUUAGAUAUGACAUAGAACACCUAUUGCGAAGGCAGCUUACUACGCAUACAUUGACGCUGAGGCACGAAAGCGUGGGGAUCAAACAGGAUUAGAUACCCUGGUAGUCCACGCCCUAAACGAUGAUUACUCGACAUUUGUGAUACACUAUAAGUGUCUGAGCGAAAGCAUUAAGUAAUCCACCUGGGAAGUACGACCGCAAGGUUG